CUAUCGCGCACAAACAGCGAAUUGGAUGCUUUGCUAAGCGCAUAUACUGCUGUUGGAGCUUGAAAACUGACCUUGUUGGAUGUGUUUGUACAAACCCAACUACCCAAUAACACUCCACCAAUAAGCACAAAAAGACAAUGAACAAAUAAUGUGGGGAAUCUCAUGUGAAUAGUGUUAACAACUUAACAAGUGUCUCAAGAGAAAUAAAUAAAUAAAUAAAUUGUAUGGUAGAUAUUACUAACCUCCUCUGUGUUCGAAUUGACUUUCAAACUUGUAAAACUUCUAAAUUAAUAAAAAUUCGAGUUAUUCAUGUUUACUGUAAAAAAAUCCAUAUGAGAAAUGUCCGAUCAUGAAUCUCUCGGCUUUGAAGAUAUAAUGUUUUUCUCCAAGCUAAUAUUGGUUAUUCGUGAGAAUGAGAAAGAAAACUUAGGCUAAUGAGUGUAUCAUAGACAUCUAAACUUUUUUUUAUGCAAAUCUACGUCUUACUUUUACAAUUUGCAAUAUACGUGUCUAAACUUCUUUUUCUGACAAAAUACAUGUCUAAACAUGAUAUCCAAAUAUCUUGUGCGGAUAAAAUUGUGAACG
This 585-nucleotide long non-coding RNA is filed under the name Medicago truncatula (barrel medic). Its description in RNAcentral is "long non-coding RNA (MTRU_LNC007793)". Lineage: Eukaryota; Viridiplantae; Streptophyta; Magnoliopsida; Fabales; Fabaceae. The record is from RNAcentral.